UACAUUUUGAUUUUUUUACUUAAAGAAACCAUAAUUUUUUGUUUUCCAAAACUAACGGCGUUAAAAAUCAACUGAGGUAGUUAACAAUAACGUGUCACGUCACUUUUUUUUCUAACACGCAGUCAAUUUUUUCCGGCUUUUCUCCCUCCAUCACUAGCGUGUCUUUUGCAUCUUCGUCCCCAUCCACCGCCAUCAUCAACUCUUUUUCCACCUCGCCAUCUUCGUCUCGUCCACUGCGUGUCUCCUUCCUAGCACAACUUCUAUGUUUGGGAAUAAAAGUAACCAACUUUCCUUCCAUUCACAAGCAGAAUAAGAAACAUAAUGAAAAAUUAACCAAAAUUGAAG
This 345-nucleotide long non-coding RNA is filed under the name Vigna radiata. RNAcentral's name for it is "long non-coding RNA (VRAD_LNC018206)". The record is from RNAcentral. Lineage: Eukaryota; Viridiplantae; Streptophyta; Magnoliopsida; Fabales; Fabaceae.